RNAcentral lists this ribosomal RNA (1007 nucleotides) under Pachytriton brevipes (black-spotted stout newt). RNAcentral's name for it is "partial 16S ribosomal RNA". It matches the Rfam family "Bacterial large subunit ribosomal RNA", at positions 945 to 2597 of the family's 2925-position model. Lineage: Eukaryota; Metazoa; Chordata; Amphibia; Caudata; Salamandridae. The record is from RNAcentral.
UUUUAUUUAUUUAAAAAAAUAAAAAUAGCACUUUAGAGUUAAUUAAUAGAGGUACAGCUCUAUUAAUAAAGGAUACAACCUACACAAUGAAUAAAGAUUAUAUUAAUAAAAGAAAUAAACCAUGUAGGCCUAAAAGCAGCCACCACAAGAAAGCGUCAUAGCUCAACUUAACAAACCCCCUUAUUAUACUAAUAAAAAAAUCUAAAUUCAUAAAAUAUAUCAAAUAYAUCUACUAAGUAGAUGAAUUUAUACUAGAAUGAGUAACAAGAACAAAUUCUCUUUAUGCAAGCGUAAAUCAGAACGAAAAAGUCACUGAUAAUUAACAAUAUAAAAUAUCCAACAACAAGAAAAACACAUUAAAACAAUUGUUAACCCGACACAGGAGCAUUAAAAAAAGAUUUAAAGAUUAAAAAGGAACUCGGCAACCAAGAGCUCCGCCUGUUUACCAAAAACAUCGCCUCUUGCCCCACAAGUAUAAGAGGUCCCGCCUGCCCAGUGAUUAAUUUUAACGGCCGCGGUAUCAUGACCGUGCAAAGGUAGCGUAAUCACUUGUCUUUUAAAUAAAGACCUGUAUGAAAGGCAAAACGAAAGCUCAACUGUCUCUUUAAUCUAAUCAGUGAAAUUAAUCCCUCCGUGCAGAAGCGGAGAUAAUUAUAUAAGACGAGAAGACCCUAUGGAGCUUUAAAUAUAAAAUUAGUUAUACACUAAUACUAACCAACAGGUAAAAAAUAAAAACGUAUAGUUAUAGUUUAAAUUUUCGGUUGGGGCGACCACGGAAGAAAAAACAUCCUCCGAGAUAGGUAAUUUAGAAUUACACUUCAAAAAUUAAAACAUUUAUUAUAAAUGAUCCACUAAGUGACCAACGAACCAAGUUACCCUAGGGAUAACAGCGCAAUCCUUUCUAAGAGUCCCUAUCGACGAGUGGGUUUACGACCUCGAUGUUGGAUCAGGACACCCAAAUGGUGCAGCCGCUAUUAAAGGUUCGUUUGUUCAACGAUUAAAGUCCU